UUCUUAUCAAGAGCAGGCGGAGGGACCAGCCCGAUGAAGCCCGGCAACCGACUUAUUUAAGCACGGUGCUAAUUCUUGCAGUUGUACAGCUGACAGAUAAGAA
RNAcentral lists this non-coding RNA (103 nucleotides) under Rossellomorea vietnamensis. RNAcentral's name for it is "Bacillus vietnamensis SAM-I sequence". It matches the Rfam family "SAM riboswitch aptamer (S box leader)". Rfam says of the family: The SAM riboswitch is found upstream of a number of genes which code for proteins involved in methionine or cysteine biosynthesis in Gram-positive bacteria. The SAM riboswitch acts at the level of transcription termination control. The record is from Rfam by way of RNAcentral. Lineage: Bacteria; Bacillati; Bacillota; Bacilli; Caryophanales; Bacillaceae.